Molecule: ribosomal RNA, 586 nt
Filed under: Kregervanrija delftensis
Lineage: Eukaryota; Fungi; Ascomycota; Pichiomycetes; Pichiales; Pichiaceae
Description: partial small subunit ribosomal RNA
Rfam family: Bacterial small subunit ribosomal RNA
Source: RNAcentral
GAAUAUUAGUCAAUGAUCGAAAGAUUGAUCUAGUUACUUAGAAAGAUGAAGAUUAUAAUAUAAAAUGUUUUGUAAAAAAUAUAAGAAAAUAAUAAUGAAGAAUAUAAAAUCAAUAUAUAUAUAUAAAGAAUAAUGAUGGAUAUAUAUAUAGAAGUCUUAACCAAAAUUAGUGCCAGCAGUUGCGGCUAAACUAAGGAGGCAAACGUUAAUCAUUAAUGGCUUAAAGGAUCCGUAGAAUGAUAUAUAUCAUAUAAAAUGAUACUUUUUUAAUAAUAUAAAAAAGGUAUAUAUACAUAAUAGAGUUAAAUUGAAUAAUAAUGAAAAAUUAUAUUGAGAGAUGAAAUGUGUGGAAAAUAAUUAGACAAAUAAACGUGAAGAUAAAAUUAAAAAUUUAACUGACAUUGAGGGAUGAAGGCAUGAGUAGCAAAACGGAUUAGAUACCCGAGUAGUUCAUGCAGUAAACGAUGAAUACUAAAUAUAAAUAUAAGCGAAAGCUUAAGUAUUCCGCCAGGAGAGUAUAGCUUCAAAGUUGAAAUCCAAGACAAUAGACGGUUACAGCUGUAGGCAGUGGAUUGUGUUAUUUAAU